Molecule: long non-coding RNA, 581 nt
Filed under: Cairina moschata (Muscovy duck)
Lineage: Eukaryota; Metazoa; Chordata; Aves; Anseriformes; Anatidae
Description: domestica (muscovy Duck (domestic type)) lncRNA (ENSCMMG00000004445.1)
Source: RNAcentral
UUGGUACUAACCAAACCCAAACAGAGAAGUCAAAGAACAGCAUUAAACUACAGACUGGUGGUGUUGCUACAACCCAUGACUUAAUCGGGUAUGUGAUAUUUCUUCUUAAAGGAUGAGCUGUUGGAUUCAGAAUACUCAGUGGGACUUUCAGUGCUACACACACAAAAAAACAGAAAUAGCAUCCUGGGGAUCUGGAGAACAGCUGGAAGACAACCACCUUGCUAACUUUAAUAUCAGAUGGCAAACAAUCCAGGCGUCUCCUUUGCCUGUGUUUCCUGUAGGACCUGGUGUUUUCCACUCCCCAGAAUUCGUAGCCCCACAUUACCCUGGAACAAAGUGAGUUCACUGUAAUAUGUAAACACAAAUUUAAUAAGGCUUGUAACCUUGCUGUGGUACCAAAUGUAAAGGGUUCUUAUUACUUUUCUUUUUUACAUACAGUGUUAUUAUAACACAUUUUUCCAUUAAUACAUGUGGAGCAGAACUUAGGAGGUCUUCCUCAAGAAACUAUUUCCUCAAGAAACUAUUCCUUUAUUUCUGUCCACAUCAUUUGUUUUUUUAAACCUUGCUUCAAUAAAUAAGGC